RNAcentral lists this long non-coding RNA (2754 nucleotides) under Arabidopsis lyrata. RNAcentral's name for it is "long non-coding RNA (ALYR_LNC000512)". The record is from RNAcentral. Lineage: Eukaryota; Viridiplantae; Streptophyta; Magnoliopsida; Brassicales; Brassicaceae.
AUCUGAAUAUCCACUUGACUCCUACCACAUUCUUGUCAGAAGGUCUUUCGAGAAGCUCCCAUGUUUGAUUUUUCUCAAUGGUUUGAAUCUCAUCUACCAUUGCAAGUCUCCAUUCCUUGUGUUUUGCGGCUUCCUCAAAUACAGCAGGUUCCUCUUCGAUGCCAACAUAGCAGCUUUCACAAGAUCCAGAAUAUUCAACAUUAGCAUAAGGGGCAUUCAAGAGGAUAUCUUCAAUAGUUCUGGUUUUCUUGUUUUGCAGGUUUGAGUCACUUUCUGGGCUGUCGAGGUUUAAGCUCAAUGGACUCGGAAGAGUACGUCUUUUCCCUAUAUCUUCAUUGUCCUUUAAUGAUGUCUCUCCAGUUGUUGGGUUUUCUUCUUCAUCCUUUGACUCGCUUGAUAGGUCAUAGGUUUUUGUAACUUCCUUCUUAUCCCAAUUCCACUUGCUUCCCUCAUCAAAUAUGACGUCUCUUGAGAUGUCAAUCUUGUUUUCUUCCAGCAGGUACAGUCUAUAUCCUUUUGUUUGAGAGCUGUAUCCUACAAAUAUACCUCUCUUUGACUUGUCAUCCCAUUUCUUCCUUUUUUCGUCUGGAAUGUGGACAUAACAUAUACUCCCAAACACUCUCAUGUGUUCCAACGAUGGUUUAGUUCCAUCCCAUGCUUCAAUAGGGGUAAUACUUUCUAAGGCUCUUGUUGGGGUUCGAUUCUGGACGUACGUAGCAACGUGAACUGCAUCAGCCCAAAAUUUUAGAGGUAAUCCCUGGCUUUGAUCAUAGCUCUUGCCAUUUCAACUAAGCUUCUGUUUCUUCUUUCUGAAACUCCAUUUUGUUGUGGAGAAUAUUCAGCAGUGAGUUGUCUUUCUAUUCCAUUUUCUUCAAGAAAUUCUGUGAACUCUUUUGAAAGAUACUCAGAUCCUCUGUCGGUUCGAAGCUUCUUGAUUUUGCAGUUUGAGUUAUUUUCAACAAGACUCUUAAACUUUCUAAAUGUUUGAAAGACCUCAGACUUGGCUCUCAGAAAAUAAAUCCAAACCAUUCUUGUUGCAUCAUCAAUAAAUGUGAGAAUGUACCUGUUUCCAUUUAUUGACAAGUUCUGCAUUGGUCCACAUAAGUCGCUGUGAAUUAGCUCCAGUUUCACUCUUGCUCUGGUCUUAGAUUCCUUCGGAAAGGGAUCACGAGAAUGCUUGCUUAGAAUGCAUGAUUCACAUUUUUCUGCUUCUACUUUGAACUUUGGUAAGCCGACCACCAUGUCUUUUGAUUGCAUAAUCUUCAGAUUUGAAUAUCCAGUGUGCCCGAGCCUCUUAUGCCAAAUUGUUGCAUCUUCAUUCUUAGCCAUCAUUGCAGUUUCUUCACUUGCUUGCCACUUUAUGUGAAAACUUUUGUUUCUCAUCGGAACUUCUCCGAUUUUUCUUCUUGUCCUAUCAUGAAUGAUGCAUUUAUUUUCUUUGAAGGUGACUUGGUAACCAUUGGAGAUCAUCUGCGGCACACUUAGGAGAUUUUUUCCCAGCUUAGGUACAAGGAAGACAUCUCGUAUGACUCUUUUCCCUUUCAUUGUCAUCACUUCAAUAUCUCCCUUUCCUUUAGUUAUGAGUGCAACACCAUUCCCAACUUUAAUAGGGACAUUAACACUUGUGUUUAUUCUGAUGAAGAUCUUCUCGUCUGGAGUCAUGUGAUUAGUGCACCCGCUGUCAAUGAGCCAUGAGUUUUCUUCAUUCAAAUCUUGUUUUUCUUGUCUUGCAACGAACGUAUGAUUCUCUUCUCUUUCAAGUACUGUCUCAGCAGCAAUCUUCGACUCCCACUCUGGUGAGCCCUCUCUUCUCUCCUUGAUAGCUCCUCUGAGCACCAACACAGGUUUUCCAGUUUCUUCACACAUCUUCACAACGUUAGGUUCCAUGAAUCAGCUAGUGCUCUGAUACCAUGUUGAAAAGCUUGUAGAAUCACAGAAAAAUAGCAAGAUCAAAUUUAGACAAAGAUUUUGAGAGCAAAACAGAGAAAAACGUUUAUCUCUUCAUAUUCCCAUAUCUCUCUCUCAAUAACCAUUUUUCUCUCUUUUAUCCAGAGAGUAUCACAUGCACUCAAGCACCUACAGCUCUCUACAGCCACCCUAGGACUCUACAAAUACAUUGGAACUCAAAAACAAACAACGACAAAGUAAAACACACUCAAACAACUUGAUGGGCCUUCAUACAAACAAAAGCCCAACGAACAAAACACCCAGCCCACAAAUAAGCUUCUUCUCCUUCUUCGACACACCAACGAUGGUUUGUAACACAUAACACAUCACUUAACAAAAAUUCAAGUCUCGAAUCCUGAAGUUGAUCAGAAUACUCAUUAGUCGAUUUACCUUGCUUUCAGGUACUGUUGGGCGUGUAGAUCCCUUGUGUGAACUGAUUGAACUUGUGUUGAAGGUUUCUAGCUCUUUGACGUGUUAUAGGGCCUUCAGGUAUGUAUGGAACCUCAAUCUCCAGCCUUUGGUUUACUUCCAUGUCCUCCAAAUCUUGGUCUGAUUCGAUGUCCGCAUCACUUGUAGAUGUGAAUAUUAGGAAUGGUACAAUCUUUUGGUUUGUUACUUUUGUUUAUGGCAAUUCUGUGACCAAUUUGAAAGAUUUGGUUUGGGAAAUAAUGAAUACAAUUGGUUAUUUCAAUGAGAUGUUAUCUAAUGAGGAAAAGCUAGGUGAUCUUCAAAGACAAACUUCCUAUAACAUUUGCAGACUCUCUUGAAGAAUUGUGAUAUGUAUGAAUUAGAAAGUUUUGAUAAUGG